This 492-nucleotide ribosomal RNA is filed under the name uncultured bacterium. RNAcentral describes it as "partial 16S ribosomal RNA". It matches the Rfam family "Bacterial small subunit ribosomal RNA", at positions 30 to 507 of the family's 1533-position model. The record is from RNAcentral.
AUUGAACGCUGGCGGCAUGCUUUACACAUGCAAGUCGAACGGCAGCGCGGAGAAGCUUGCUUCUCUGUCGGCGAGUGGCGAACGGGUGAGUAUAGCAUCGGAACGUGCCAAGUAGUGGGGGAUAACCAAACGAAAGUUUGGCUAAUACCGCGUAAGCUCUAAGGAGGAAAGUAGGGGACCUAAAUAAGGCCUUACGCUAUUUGAUCGGCCGAUGUCGGAUUAGCUAGUUGGUGGGGUAAUGGCUCACCAAGGCAAUGAUCCGUAGCGGGUCUGAGAGGACGAUCCGCCACACGGGGACUGAGACACGGCCCAGACUCCUACGGGAGGCAGCAGUGGGGAAUUUUGGACAAGGGGGGAAACCCUGAUCCAGCCAUGCCGCGUGUAUGAAGAAGGCCUUAGGGUUGUAAAGUACUUUUGUUAGGGAAGAAAAGCUAGUUUUUAAUAAAAAUUAGUGAUGACGGUACCUAAAGAAAAGCACCGGCUAACUACGUG